GACGAACGCUGGCGGCGUGCCUAAUACAUGCAAGUUGAGCGCUGAAGGUUGGUACUUGUACCAACUGGAUGAGCAGCGAACGGGUGAGUAACGCGUGGGGAAUCUGCCUUUGAGCGGGGGACAACAUUUGGAAACGAAUGCUAAUACCGCAUAAAAACUUUAAACACAAGUUUUAAGUUUGAAAGAUGCAAUUGCAUCACUCAAAGAUGAUCCCGCGUUGUAUUAGCUAGUUGGUGAGGUAAAGGCUCACCAAGGCGAUGAUACAUAGCCGACCUGAGAGGGAGAGCAGCCAGACGGGAACUGAGAGACGGUCCAGACACCUAUGGCAGGCAGGAGUGGGGAAGAUGGGAGAAUGGGCGCAAGCGAAAUACAGCCAUACCGAGGAGGUGAAGAAGGACUAAGGGGUGUAAAACACGUUGGUGGGGAAAGAAAAACAGCAAGGGAAUACCCCGCUGUUCGGACGGGACCAAAAGAACAAGAACGGGAGAACCUGGGG
This 496-nucleotide ribosomal RNA is filed under the name uncultured bacterium. Its description in RNAcentral is "partial 16S ribosomal RNA". It matches the Rfam family "Bacterial small subunit ribosomal RNA", at positions 28 to 507 of the family's 1533-position model. The record is from RNAcentral.